CAAUAGCGUAUAUUAAAGUUGUUGCAGUUAAAAAGCUCGUAGUUGGAUUUCUGGGAGGGUGCCAAUGUCCGCCGUCGUGCGUGCGCAGCGGCGCCCUUCCAUCCUUCUGUUAACGCCUCUUGGCAUUCAUUUGCUGGUGGCGGGCUCAGAUAUUUUACCUUGAGAAAAUUAGAGUGUUUCAGGCAGGCUAGGCCGGAAUACAUUAGCAUGGAAUAAUGGAAUAGGACUACGGUCUCGUUGUUGGUUUGAGGGACUGCAGUAAUGAUUAAUAGGGAUAGUUGGGGGCAUUAGUAUUUAAUUGUCAGAGGUGGAAUUCUCGGAUUUGUUAAAGACUAACUUAUGCGAAAGCAUUUGCCAAGGAUGUUUUCAUUA
Molecule: ribosomal RNA, 372 nt
Filed under: uncultured eukaryote
Lineage: Eukaryota
Description: partial 18S ribosomal RNA
Rfam family: Eukaryotic small subunit ribosomal RNA
Source: RNAcentral